UAAAACUCAGGGUACACAAAUGGGAACUAUGC
Molecule: non-coding RNA, 32 nt
Filed under: Mus musculus (house mouse)
Lineage: Eukaryota; Metazoa; Chordata; Mammalia; Rodentia; Muridae
Source: RNAcentral